Molecule: long non-coding RNA, 1922 nt
Organism: Hippocampus zosterae (dwarf seahorse)
Lineage: Eukaryota; Metazoa; Chordata; Actinopteri; Syngnathiformes; Syngnathidae
Exons: 4
Source: RefSeq, a predicted model, not a curated record
AUUCCUCUCCUCUUUGUGGGUGACAGCAAAUAGUCGAGUUUAGCCCAAAGGCUGCAAUUCGGUCAUCAAAUGCGAGUCUCACCUGCCGCUGUGGGGUAGCCUUUGUUUUUGCAACGCUCUUUGCAGUGUCUGUAGAAGGGGAAACACUGCAGCAUCUUCACACCCAUGAUGGGAAACUGUCGAGGAAAGAACACGGGGCCGAUGACGACACGGCAGCGCACCAGCGACACAGAAAUCGACGUAUGACAUCACCUGCCAGGUGGCAGCUGCGCGGACGCGAGCGAAGUCGUACGGCCGUCACCCGUUCGAUCGCAUGUUUUGAUGAUCCGCAUGCAAAGACUUCCUCUUGUCAACGGUAAGCUAAACCCCACCAAGCAUGAGGCGUUGAAGAGUGUCACACACCACACGUGUGUUAUCAACCAGGUUGAGGACGGCGCUGUGUUCUCUUCAAAUCAUUUUCACGAAACAAAAAACUAGCCGCAAUCCGAAAUCAUCACAGUGGAUUUUGCAAAGCACCCACCUGACUCCAAGAGGACUGCUAAGGGAGCGGGAUGAGGUGCGAGCCAACAACGGAAAGCUUCCUUAUGUUCCCUCCACUCACCGAGUGAACUUUAAAUAGCUCCCCCACCCCCUCCCCAGCAGUGUAGGACACGCCUGCUUUCUUUUCUUUUUUCCCUCCCCCUCUCUGACUCUUCUUCUCGCCGCCCUUCAAGCUUUUGCCAUCAUCACAUAGUGACUGAGGUUCGUCCAGUACUUGGCCCAAUCCUUUUUCUUUCUGAAGCGCUCAUUUGUUACAGCAGUCUUAUUAUGCGUUUUAAAUCCAAUCAACCGUGAAUGUUUUCCCAAACGAAAUGACUACUGAGACGUUUACAAAGCUUCAUUGUCAACAUUGAUGACAUCAUGGGGCCCACCCGGCAUCAAAUAGUGAAGGACGGCUGCUAAAAGACAAUCUGGCUAGUCUGUGAAUCAAUCUUUGGAAAAUCCACGCAAAAUCUCUUUGGUUCUCCAUUUUAAGCCACUUCAAAUCAAAAUGGCAGACUUGCUGUGGUGUCUUAAGGCUUUUUUUGUUUUUUGUCAGUGAAAGUGGCUUUGGAGGUUUUGUUUUCCAAAAGCUCCUCAGCUUUGUGAUGCCGAUCGCAAAUGUAUAUUUUCACCACUUGUAAAAAUGUGGCUUAACCCUCCUAAUUGAUAAAAUAAUGCUCAUUGGCAGUGCUAAGAUACUGUAGCUGAAGGAAAGGGGCAACAGUAAAAGUUGCUUUUGAUGGCUUCUGAAUGUCUAAAACCCGCAAGGUUUGCGUGCCCGUCAUGAUUUAGCACUUCCUGUCUUGGCCAAAACCAAGAUGACACAUUGACUACAUGCUUCCAAACGUUGGUUAAUAAAUGCGAAAAGCAAGUAAAAGUGCAACUAUCUGGUUAAAAAUGGAACAAACAAGUGAAGCACACAACAAGGAUUCCGGUUUAUUCCUGCUAGCGGGGAAAACAGGAGCGCAGAGCCAGAAGGCCUCGCCAACUCGUUACGUCAUUCUUGUACUUGUGCCCGCCCGUCCGUUCCCGAGCCAGCAAGUAUUUCACUUGUGCUUUUUAUACUAUAUUUACACUUGAAGGUUACAAAGCUCCCAAUUGCCAGCAAGCCACCGUGCGACAACAAAAGCUUAAAGGCUUAACCUGCACCACCACCUCCUCCUCCUCCUUCUCCUCGUCACAACGCGAACCUUUGACCCUGUCUGAACAACAACAAUCCUAUUAGACGCGGAAUAAGACGUGUAAUCGCAUACGGGACGUGUCUGGCCGCGAGCUAGCCGCGAUUCAUCAUGUUUGAACCUUUUACGCAUUUUUAAUUGGAAAACUAUGAUUCGUUCAUUUACAUUUUUCACAAUGGAACAAAACGAUGAUAUGAAGUGCUUGAAUGCCCACUUUUUCGA